RNAcentral lists this transfer RNA (66 nucleotides) under Trigonopterus sp. 8 AH-2016. RNAcentral's name for it is "tRNA-Phe". Lineage: Eukaryota; Metazoa; Arthropoda; Insecta; Coleoptera; Curculionidae. The record is from RNAcentral.
ACUUAAGUAGCUUAUUAUUAGAGCGUAGUACUGAAGUUACUAAGGAAAUAUAAUUAUUCUUAAGUA